This is a non-coding RNA of Microcebus murinus (gray mouse lemur), 4399 nucleotides long. The record is from RefSeq and is a predicted model, not a curated record. NCBI's taxonomy places the organism in Eukaryota, Metazoa, Chordata, Mammalia, Primates, Cheirogaleidae.
UCUUUUGUGUAAAUAAAAUUAGGCUUUGACUUCUUCUUUACUUUUAAGCCUGUGAUUGUUUUUCACUUAAAAAAAUAAAAAAAGAGGCCUGCUCUGCGGGGCGCCAGUGCCCUCCUGCCCUGCCUGGCCGGUGCCCCUCGCACCCUUGGCGGGCCCUGCACUUCUCGCCCGCCCUGAGGGCAGGCGGGGCCCCCAGGCAGGCAGGCAGCCAGGCAGGGGCGGGGCAGUGCCGAUAGGGCAUGUGGGACUGCAGUUCCUGGUGAUCGCAGAGCCCGCCCCUGCUCCUGCUGCUCAGGCGGCUGCACCACCAGCUCCCCGUGCCCUGGAGCCAGGUCCACAGGAAGCUGCAGCCUGGUCACCGAGGAACUCUGGCAGCCGCCCUGAGCACGCUCAACCCCAACCCCACAGACAGCUGUCCCCUCCACCUGAACUGUGCCACAUGGCUGCCCUGCCCUCCAGAGUGAGCCGGCACAACAGCUGGGCAGCCGCCCACUGCAUCACUGGCACAUCACUGGCUUGUGCGCACCUGCCUGCCCCCGGAGUCCAGCGGUGCAUUCUCACGCUCUGCGAGCAGGCCGAUGUCUUUGCCUCCGCCUGGGCCCUGGCCUGGGCCUCCCGCUGUCCACCCACAGCUCAGGUGGCUCGCGCAGCAGGGAGAACACCGUCAGGGUGGAGUUCUUCCUGGUAUGACAAGACAAUGGGCUGGUGGAAGUGCCCACGUCGCAAUGCUUAGCGAACGCCACAGAAGGUGUGCGGCUGGCGGCCCGCAUCGUGGAUACGCCCUGCAGUGGGAUGAACACAGGCACCUUCCUCGAGGAGAUUAACAAAGUUGGAAAAGAGCUGGGGAUUGUUCCGACCAUCAUCUGGGACGAGGAGCUGAAUGGGAGAGGAUUUGGAGGACUCUGUGGAGUUGGCAAAACUGCUCUCCGCCCCCAGCUCUGGCUGUCCUCAGCCACACCCCAGGCGGAGCCACGCGGACCAUCGCCUGGGUGGGCAAAGACGUCCUCUACGACACUGGGGGCCUCAGCAUCAAAGGGAAGACCACCGUGCCCAGGAUGAAGCGGGGCUGCGAGGGCGCUGCGGCCGUCUUGGGGGCCUUUAGAGCUGCCAGCAAGCAGGGUUUCAGAGACAGCCUCCAUGCUUGGCCGAGAACGCAGUGGGACCCAGCGCUAGAGACCCGAUGACAUCCACCUGCUGUGUACGCAGGAAAGAUGGUGGAAAGUAACAACACGGACACCGAGGGCAGGCUGGUGCCGGCAGGCGGCGUGCCCUCCGCCUGCAAGGACCUGGGGGCCGACAUCAUCCUGGAUAUGGCCACGCUCACCCGGGCUCAAGAAAUUGCCGCAGGGAAGUACCGCACCACGGUGCUCACCAACAGCGCUGAGUGGGAGGCUGCCUGCGUGAAGGCCCGCAGGAAGUGCGGGGACCUGGUGCACCCGCCGGGCUACUGCCCCGAGCCGCGCUUAAGCAGCUCACCUCGGCCUGACAUGAAGAAGUCGGUGGCGGACGGAGACAAUAGCCCCAGCUCCUGUGCUUGCCUCUUGAUCGUCUCACACCUUGGCUUCGACUGGCCUGGGGUCUGGGUCCACUUGGACAUCGCCACACCAGUGCUCGCCGGCCAGCAAGCCACAGGCUUCGGUGUGGCCCUCCUGCUUGAGCUCUUUGGCUGUGCAUCCGAGGACCAUCUGCUGAACCUGGUGUCCCCACUGGGCUGUGAAGGGGAUGUACAGGAGAGGCACAUGGGGAGGGACUCGAAGAGACACAAGCUCAUGUGACAGCCUGGCUGACCUCAGCUCUGCCCCUGUGACACAGGGCUCUUUUAUCUCACUUCGCACUGAUUAUUUUUAAGCAAUUGAAGAUUAUUCCUUAAAAAAUUGGUUUUUUAUUUUUUUCCAAACAAUGACAAACUUUUAUUGAGAAAAUAGAAGUCUGUUCUUUCAUUUGACCAUUUCCAAAGAAUCAGCCCAUCCUGGGUAGCCCACACGGUGGCUAUUCAAAGGUACUGAAAACUGAGGUAUUUGGUCACUAUUACCCAGCAAGAAACUCUUCACAGGGUUAGGCUCCAAGUCCUUUGUGCUGCUCUUGGUCAAUCAGUGACUGUAAUUUUCAUCCAGAAGCCAUCCAAGGUAAGCACGGGCUGAGCCGUCCUUAACUCAUACUCAGAUGAAACAACUUCCGCAGAAAGGCUGGUCCUCUCCAGUAGCCCCUCAGCAUCAUAUUCCAGUACAGGAAAGGGAUCAGGUCAGCUUUCAUGGGGCACAUGGACAGUCGCUCUUUGCUCUGAUCAAAGGGGAAGGUUUCUAGCCGCUGAGCAUUGUAGUCAGACUCUGCAAGAAUCACACAGUUGUAGCCGGUCACCAGUGGACAUGAUGUGUAGCCAUCAUACUUCUUCUUUGGUGCUUGAUUCUUCAUAAUCAGAGAAAUUGUUCUCUCAAGUAUCCCUGACUGGGCAGCUGCUGCAGCAGCAGUCUUUAACAUAGGAAGGUUGGCACAGUCCCCAAUUCCAGACACAUUUGGGUACCUCUUGUGCGGCAGAGUUUCUUUAUCCACAUCCACCCAGCCAGCAUCAGCCACAGGACUGGUCUUGUGGACAUCUGGUGGACUCAUGGGUGGUGUGACAUGAAUCAUUUCAUAUGAAAUCACGUGGGUCUCCCCAGGUUUAUUCAGGUUCUCAAAAACAGCCUCUUGUUUCUCAGCUCAGUCUUAAGUGAGGUUUUGCUUGCAGUUAAUGGUGAUAUUCCUCUCCUGGAUAAUCUCCUGCAGGGCAUCUGCAUACUUCUUAACCCCCAGAAUUCCUCCAAGAGAAGUGUUAAAAAUGAUAUUGGCCUUGGAUUGCUUCCCCACCUUCCUGAAAUAGGUUUCUGACAAAUACACGAUCUUCUGGGGGGCUCCAGCACACUUCACUGGAGUAUUUGGGAAGGUAAAGACGGGCACUGCCCUCCUUGAAGUCCUGCAGAGCUUUCCACGUCUUCUCUACAGUCUUCACUGAAUAAUGAGAUCCUAUUUUGGGAUGCACAAAAGCUUCAGGGAGCCUUUAAUCUUCUCAUAGUCCAGCUGGAUUCCAAGAGCAAUAGUAAGAUAUUUGUAGGAGAUCUCCUUGCCAUUGUCUGUGUGGAUGCAGUCCUUGUCUGGGUUCAGUUCAACCGCUCUAGCUUUGAUCCAUUCUACACUGGAUGGAAUCGCACUCUCUGUGGGACUACCAGAUGAGGACAACUGUUUGGCACCAGCACCCACCAGCGUCCAGAUUGGCUGAUAGAAGUGUCUCUUGCUGGGCUCAACAAUAGCCACCCACCUUCCUCUUCGUGUGAGCAGACAUGGUGAUCUCACCGCUGCCCCCACCCAGCACCAGCACUAGCACCUUGUAGUGGUUCCUGGCUGCACAGCUGGCCCCUGCGUGCAGCGGAACGGGGCUGGCCUGCUGAGAGCCCAGCUUGAGGAUGCAGGUAAAGAGCUGGGUGUGGGCCGACACCAAGGUGACCAGCAGGGACAUCUUCAGGUGGGAUCAGGCUAGGCCGAGCUGACUCUGAGCUGUCACUCUGGAUCCCUGUAGCUUCCAGUCUUGGAGGCAAGAGCGAGCCUUGUCUGCAUAGCACGGGUCAGGCUAACGGAGACCAGUGGGUGCUGUGGGUGGAGCCGCAGAGCGCUGCGGGCCCUUUGCAGCUGCGCUUUUCACCCUAGGCUUUCAACAGAGGUACUGUAUUGGCAGUUGCUGGAGAAGAUGUUUCAAUUGUUGCUUUUGACACUUGAUUGAGUAAAGAGUUUUCACUUCAUACCUGAGACAGCCCCAAAUGUUACAAGUUAAUAGACAAAACAGUCAUUGGAUGCAGUGGUGUUCAUGGAGACUGUCUUACCCUGACAAAGAUUAUUGAAGCAAGACUAAAGAUGUAUAAACAUUCCAAUAAUAAGGCCAUGACUACAGGGGCAAUUGCUACAAUGCUGUCUAUGAUCCUGUAUUCAAGGCGCUUCUUUCCAUACUGUGUUUACAACAUUACCAGUGGACUUGAUGAAGCAGGAAAGGGAGCUGUGUACAGCUUUGACCCGGCGGAGUCCUACCAGAGAGACUCCUUCAAGGCCAGAGGCUCAGCAAGUGCCAUACUGCAGCCCCUGCUCGGUAAUCAGGUUGGUUUGAAGAACAUGCAGAAUGUGGAGCACGUCCCACUCUCCUUGGAUAGAGCCACGCGGCUGGUGAAAGACAUCUUCACAUCUGCAGCCGAGAGGGAUGUGUACACGGGGGACACACUCAAGAUCUGCAUUGUGACCAGAGAUGACACUCAGGGGGAGACGGUUCCACUAAGGAAGGACUGAGCUGCGCCUUCGUGCAGAACUGGCUGUUGUUGUACCUUGGCACUGUUGACAAAUUUGUUUAUUAAAAAGACCUGAAGUGCUAAAAAAAAAAAAA